Molecule: ribosomal RNA, 451 nt
Filed under: uncultured Rhodobacter sp.
Lineage: Bacteria; Pseudomonadati; Pseudomonadota; Alphaproteobacteria; Rhodobacterales
Description: partial 16S ribosomal RNA
Source: RNAcentral
CACGGAGUUAGCCGGGGCUUCUUCUGGUGGUACCGUCAUUAUCUUCCCACCUGAAAGAUCUUUACAACCCUAAGGCCUUCAUCGAUCACGCGGCAUGGCUAGAUCAGGCUUGCGCCCAUUGUCUAAGAUUCCCCACUGCUGCCUCCCGUAGGAGUCUGGGCCGUGUCUCAGUCCCAGUGUGGCUGAUCAUCCUCUCAAACCAGCUAUGGAUCGUCGGCUUGGUAGGCCAUUACCCCACCAACUACCUAAUCCAACGCGGGCCAAUCCUUUGGCGAUAAAUCUUUCCCCCGAAGGGCACAUACGGUAUUACUCCCAGUUUCCCGAGGCUAUUCCGUACCAAAGGGUAUGUUCCCACGCGUUACUCACCCGUCCGCCGCUAAGUCCGAAGACUUCGCUCGACUUGCAUGUGUUAGGCCUGCCGCCAGCGUGUUCUUGAGCACGGAUCAACUAC